CAUCAGACUUUAAUGGCACUUGUAACUCAUAUAGGUGCAAAGUUCUCAUCAAUAGAAACGAAUUAAGUUCAAACAGCAGGAAAUUGCUAUAAAUCGUUAAAGAGUUCCCUCGACUAACUUUUGUCUCCAUCAUCAGACUGCAAUGGCACUUAUAACUCAUACAGGUGCAAAGUUCUCAUCAAUAGAAACGAAUUAAGUUCAAAAAGCAGGUAAUUGCUAUAAAUUGUUGAAGAGUUCCCUCGACUAUCUUUCUUCUCCAUCAUCAGAUCGACUCCAGACCUUUAUUAAAUAGUAGUACUUUAUAGUACUUAAUGAAAACAUGAUUAAAUUUACUAGUCACCCUUACGAUUUUUGAAAGUUUCCCUCGAUUUCUCUGGGAUCCCAUCAUCAGAUCC
Molecule: unclassified non-coding RNA, 395 nt
Filed under: Melitaea cinxia (Glanville fritillary)
Lineage: Eukaryota; Metazoa; Arthropoda; Insecta; Lepidoptera; Nymphalidae
Description: misc RNA ENSMCXG00005020636.1
Source: RNAcentral